This 217-nucleotide ribosomal RNA is filed under the name uncultured bacterium. RNAcentral describes it as "partial 16S ribosomal RNA". It matches the Rfam family "Bacterial small subunit ribosomal RNA", at positions 122 to 334 of the family's 1533-position model. The record is from RNAcentral.
UAACCUGCCUGGUAGCGGGGGGUAACUAUUGGAAACGAUAGCUGAUACCGCAUAACAGUCGACAUUGCAUGAUGUUGAUUUGAAAGGGGCAAUUGCUCCACUACCAGAUGGACCUGCGUUGUAUUAGCUAGUUGGUGAGGUAACGGCUCACCAAGGCGACGAUACAUAGCCGACCUGAGAGGGUGAUCGGCCACACUGGGACUGAGACACGGCCCAG